This 433-nucleotide ribosomal RNA is filed under the name uncultured bacterium. RNAcentral describes it as "bacterial SSU rRNA". It matches the Rfam family "Bacterial small subunit ribosomal RNA", at positions 335 to 755 of the family's 1533-position model. The record is from RNAcentral.
ACUCCUACGGGAGGCAGCAGUGGGGAAUAUUGCGCAAUGGACGAAAGUCUGACGCAGCGACGCCGCGUGGAGGAUGAAGGUUUUCGGAUCGUAAACUCCUGUCAAGAGGGAAGAAACCUAUCAUGAAUAAUACUCAUGGUAAUUGACGGUACCUCUAGAGGAAGCACCGGCUAAUUCAGUGCCAGCAGCCGCGGGUAAUACUGAAGGUGCCAAGCGUUAAUCGGAAUCACUGGGGCGUAAAGCGCUCGUAGGUGGGCUUUGUAAGUCAGGUGUGAAAGCCCACGGCUCAACCGUGGAAUUGCACUUGAUACUGCAUCGCUAGAGUAUAGGAGAGGGAAGUGGAAUUUCUGGUGUAGGAGUGAAAUCCGUAGAGAUCAGAAGGAACACCCGUGGCGAAGGCGACUUCCUGGACUAUUACUGACACUGAGGAGCG